This 250-nucleotide ribosomal RNA is filed under the name uncultured bacterium. RNAcentral's name for it is "partial 16S ribosomal RNA". It matches the Rfam family "Bacterial small subunit ribosomal RNA", at positions 524 to 773 of the family's 1533-position model. The record is from RNAcentral.
UACAGAGGCCUCGAGCGUUAUUCGGAUUUACUGGGCGUAAAGGGAAUGUAGGCGGUAACGUAAGUCAGAUGUGAAAGCCCUAGGCUUAACCUGGGAAAUGCAUUUGAUACUGCGUUGCUGGAGUGCGAGAGAGGAAAGUGGAAUUCCAGGUGUAGGGGUGAAAUCCGUAGAUAUCUGGAGGAAUACCAAUGGCGAAGGCAGCUUUCUGGCUCGUAACUGACGCUGAGAUUCGAAAGCGUGGGUAGCAAAC